This is a non-coding RNA of Caldisalinibacter kiritimatiensis, 83 nucleotides long. The record is from Rfam. Lineage: Bacteria; Bacillati; Bacillota; Tissierellia; Tissierellales; Thermohalobacteraceae.
AAAGCAUGGUUGAAACAAGAUUUAUCAUGAGAAGUCAGCCGAGGUCAUAGUACUAGAGUAGCUAUAGAUACUCUAGGAAGGAC